This 433-nucleotide ribosomal RNA is filed under the name uncultured bacterium. RNAcentral's name for it is "partial 16S ribosomal RNA". It matches the Rfam family "Bacterial small subunit ribosomal RNA", at positions 29 to 507 of the family's 1533-position model. The record is from RNAcentral.
AGCGAACGCUGGCGGCAGGCCUAACACAUGCAAGUCGAACGAUCUCUUCGGAGUUAGUGGCGGACGGGUGAGUAACACGUGGGAACGUGCCUUUUGGUUCGGCAUAACUCAGGGAAACUUGUGCUAAUACCGAAUGUGCCCUUCGGGGGAACGAUUUAUCGCCAUUAGAGCGGCCCGCGUCUGAUUAGCUAGUUGGUGAGGUAACGGUGCACCAAGGGGGCGAUAAGUAGCUGGUCUGAGAGGAUGACCAGCCACACUGGGACUGAGACACGGACCAGACUCCUACGGGAGGCAGCAGUGGGGAGUCUUGCGCAAUGGGCGAAAGCCUAACGUAGCCAUGCCGCGUGAAUGAUGAAGGUCUUAGGAUUGUAAAAUUCUUUCAACGGGGACGAUAAUGACGGUACCCGGAGAAGAAGCCCCGGCUAACUUCGUG